GCGUUAAGUUGCAGGGUAUAGACCCGAAACCCGGUGAUCUAGCCAUGGGCAGGUUGAAGGUUGGGUAACACUAACUGGAGGACCGAACCGACUAAUGUUGAAAAAUUAGCGGAUGACCUGUGGCUGGGGGUGAAAGGCCAAUCAAACCGGGAGAUAGCUGGUUCUCCCCGAAAGCUAUUUAGGUAGCGCCUCGUGAAUUCAUCUCCGGGGGUAGAGCACUGUUUCGGCUAGGGGGCCAUCCCGGCUUACCAACCCGAUGCAAACUGCGAAUACCGGAGAAUGUUAUCACGGGAGACACACGGCGGGUGCUAACGUCCGUCGUGAAGAGGGAAACAACCCAGACCGCCAGCUAAGGUCCCAAAGUCAUGGUUAAGUGGGAAACGAUGUGGGAAGGCCCAGACAGCCAGGAUGUUGGCUUAGAAGCAGCCAUCAUUUAAAGAAAGCGUAAUAGCUCACUGGUCGAGUCGGCCUGCGCGGAAGAUGUAACGGGGCUAAACCAUGCACCGAAGCUGCGGCAGCGACACUCAGGUGUUGUUGGGUAGGGGAGCGUUCUGUAAGCCUGCGAAGGUGGCCUGUGAGGGUUGCUGGAGGUAUCAGAAGUGCGAAUGCUGACAUAAGUAACGAUAAAGCGGGUGAAAAGCCCGCUCGCCGGAAGACCAAGGGUUCCUGUCCAACGUUAAUCGGGGCAGGGUGAGUCGACCCCUAAGGCGAGGCCGAAAGGCGUAGUCGAUGGGAAACGGGUUAAUAUUCCCGUACUUGGUGUUACUGCGAAGGGGGGACGGAGAAGGCUAUGUUGGCCGGGCGACGGUUGUCCCGGUUUAAGCGUGUAGGUGUGUGUUCCAGGUAAAUCCGGUUCACUUUAACACUGAGGCGUGACGACGAGGCACUACGGUGCUGAAGCAACAAAUGCCCUGCUUCCAGGAAAAGCCUCUAAGCAUCAGGUAACAUCAAAUCGUACCCCAAACCGACACAGGUGGUCAGGUAGAGAAUACCAAGGCGCUUGAGAGAACUCGGGUGAAGGAACUAGGCAAAAUGGUGCCGUAACUUCGGGAGAAGGCACGCUGACACGUAGGUGAAGUGAUUUACUCACGGAGCUGAAGUCAGUCGAAGAUACCAGCUGGCUGCAACUGUUUAUUAAAAACACAGCACUGUGCAAACACGAAAGUGGACGUAUACGGUGUGACGCCUGCCCGGUGCCGGAAGGUUAAUUGAUGGGGUCAGCGCAAGCGAAGCUCCUGAUCGAAGCCCCGGUAAACGGCGGCCGUAACUAUAACGGUCCUAAGGUAGCGAAAUUCCUUGUCGGGUAAGUUCCGACCUGCACGAAUGGCGUAAUGAUGGCCAGGCUGUCUCCACCCGAGACUCAGUGAAAUUGAACUCGCUGUGAAGAUGCAGUGUACCCGCGGCAAGACGGAAAGACCCCGUGAACCUUUACUAUAGCUUGACACUGAACAUUGAGCCUUGAUGUGUAGGAUAGGUGGGAGGCUUUGAAGCGUGGACGCCAGUCUGCGUGGAGCCGACCUUGAAAUACCACCCUUUAAUGUUUGAUGUUCUAACGUGGACCCGUGAUCCGGGUUGCGGACAGUGUCUGGUGGGUAGUUUGACUGGGGCGGUCUCCUCCUAAAGAGUAACGGAGGAGCACGAAGGUUGGCUAAUCCUGGUCGGACAUCAGGAGGUUAGUGCAAUGGCAUAAGCCAGCUUGACUGCGAGCGUGACGGCGCGAGCAGGUGCGAAAGCAGGUCAUAGUGAUCCGGUGGUUCUGAAUGGAAGGGCCAUCGCUCAACGGAUAAAAGGUACUCCGGGGAUAACAGGCUGAUACCGCCCAAGAGUUCAUAUCGACGGCGGUGUUUGGCACCUCGAUGUCGGCUCAUCACAUCCUGGGGCUGAAGUAGGUCCCAAGGGUAUGGCUGUUCGCCAUUUAAAGUGGUACGCGAGCUGGGUUUAGAACGUCGUGAGACAGUUCGGUCCCUAUCUGCCGUGGGCGCUGGAGAACUGAGGGGGGCUGCUCCUAGUACGAGAGGACCGGAGUGGACGCAUCACUGGUGUUCGGGUUGUCAUGCCAAUGGCACUGCCCGGUAGCUAAAUGCGGAAGAGAUAAGUGCUGAAAGCAUCUAAGCACGAAACUUGCCCCGAGAUGAGUUCU
This 2140-nucleotide ribosomal RNA is filed under the name Salmonella enterica subsp. enterica serovar Miami. Its description in RNAcentral is "bacterial LSU rRNA". It matches the Rfam family "Bacterial large subunit ribosomal RNA", at positions 692 to 2812 of the family's 2925-position model. The record is from RNAcentral. Lineage: Bacteria; Pseudomonadati; Pseudomonadota; Gammaproteobacteria; Enterobacterales; Enterobacteriaceae.